UAUCAGCCGCUAUCAGUGAUGACCUCACCGU
RNAcentral lists this non-coding RNA (31 nucleotides) under Mus musculus (house mouse). The record is from RNAcentral. Lineage: Eukaryota; Metazoa; Chordata; Mammalia; Rodentia; Muridae.